RNAcentral lists this ribosomal RNA (301 nucleotides) under uncultured bacterium. RNAcentral's name for it is "partial 16S ribosomal RNA". It matches the Rfam family "Bacterial small subunit ribosomal RNA", at positions 509 to 807 of the family's 1533-position model. The record is from RNAcentral.
CAGCCGCCGCGGGAAUACAGAGGGUGCGAGCGUUAAUCGGAUUUACUGGGCGUAAAGCGUGCGUAGGCGGCUUCUUAAGUCGGAUGUGAAAUCCCUGAGCUUAACUUAGGAAUUGCAUUCGAUACUGGGAAGCUAGAGUAUGGGAGAGGAUGGUAGAAUUCCAGGUGUAGCGGUGAAAUGCGUAGAGAUCUGGAGGAAUACCGAUGGCGAAGGCAGCCAUCUGGCCUAAUACUGACGCUGAGGUACGAAAGCAUGGGGAGCAAACAGGAUUAGAUACCCGAGUAGUCCCUGUCUCUUAUAC